This 93-nucleotide transfer RNA is filed under the name Desulfobacterales bacterium CG23_combo_of_CG06-09_8_20_14_all_51_8. RNAcentral's name for it is "tRNA-Ser". It matches the Rfam family "tRNA". Rfam says of the family: Transfer RNA (tRNA) molecules are approximately 80 nucleotides in length. Their secondary structure includes four short double-helical elements and three loops (D, anti-codon, and T loops). Further hydrogen bonds mediate the characteristic L-shaped molecular structure. tRNAs have two regions of fundamental functional importance: the anti-codon, which is responsible for specific mRNA codon recognition, and the 3' end, to which the tRNAs corresponding amino acid is attached (by aminoacyl-tRNA synthetases). tRNAs cope with the degeneracy of the genetic code in two manners: having more than one tRNA (with a specific anti-codon) for a particular amino acid; and 'wobble' base-pairing, i.e. permitting non-standard base-pairing at the 3rd anti-codon position. Lineage: Bacteria; Pseudomonadati; Thermodesulfobacteriota; Desulfobacteria; Desulfobacterales. The record is from RNAcentral.
GGAGAGAUGGCCGAGUAGGUCUAAGGCGCUCGCCUGCUAAGCGAGUAUGUGGGGAAACUUGCAUCCAGGGUUCGAAUCCCUGUCUCUCCGCCA